AAAAAAGCAUUCCGUCGAACCGGAUUCGAACCAGUGACCUAAGGAUACCUGCUAACUCUACAGUCCUCCGCUCUACCAACUGAGCUAUCGACGGCACGGC
This is a non-coding RNA of Caenorhabditis elegans, 100 nucleotides long. NCBI's taxonomy places the organism in Eukaryota, Metazoa, Nematoda, Chromadorea, Rhabditida, Rhabditidae. The record is from Ensembl.